RNAcentral lists this long non-coding RNA (1472 nucleotides) under Monodelphis domestica (gray short-tailed opossum). Its description in RNAcentral is "lncRNA (ENSMODG00000041075.1)". Lineage: Eukaryota; Metazoa; Chordata; Mammalia; Didelphimorphia; Didelphidae. The record is from RNAcentral.
AUAAAGAAGGUCCCCAGGAAAUUCAGUGGUUGGACCAGAUCACACAUGUAACUGAAUGACAGAGGAAGGAUUUGAUCUCAGGGCUCACUUCGACACAAGCUAUUUCCAUCCUCCCACUUCUUCAAGCUGGGAGCUGGGACUAGAGCUGAUCCUGCCACCAGAUGGAGACCUUGGUUCCUGCUUCCAUGGGAAGUUGGGGAAGGAAAUUUGCACCUGGCCAGAGAGCGAGCUGGAGCAGCAUCCCUUAGGGGAGGGCCAGACUCUGCCCCUGCUUCAGUCAGGCCAAGUAAAUGUGCCCACAUUUCCCACCCGCCUCACCCACCCUGCACCACCUGAAUCCAGGGGAAGGGCCUUCCACUGCUGGCUGAGCCUAGAACUCGGCUCCCAGGGGCCUGGGGUCUGCAGGUCACCCCACAGGUCGCUCCGUGCUACUCUGAUUUCAGGCCUGGGCUCUGAAAUGACGGGGUGCUAAGGUGUCCUCAAAGGGAACCCAUCCUCAGCUUCACUCCCUUCCCUGGCCACAUGACUUCCUAUGAUGCUGAGAAAGGAGGCCAGAGUGGAGCUCCGUAGCCCACUGAAGCUCCUCCUCUUCAAUAUGUCAUGGGGAGCAGAGCAGGAGCCAUAGUCUGACUCCAUGAGCAAUCGUUGGGGGGUCCCUGAAGCAGUCAUUCUGGCUUCUCCAUGGAUCUUCUAUACAGAGAUGCUCACCCAGGUGCUCACCAGGUGUCCAUUCUCCCUGGGUCUCUUUCAGUCUUCACAGCAACCCUGUGAGCUGGGGAGUACCCCAUUCUACAGAUCAGGAAACAAAUGCCGGGUUCAGUGAUUUCCCCAGUGUUACUCAUUUUAGAAGGCAGCAAGCCAGUCAGUAAACACUCAUGAAGCACCUCCUCUGACCCAGGCACUGUGCCACGUGCUGGGUAGAGAAAGAGAAAGACAAAAGAGAGUCUCGGCUUUCAAGGAGCUCCCAAGAAACCACUGGAGGUGGCAAUCUGCAAACACUGUAUACCAACAAGCUGCAGGCAGGAUAAAUCAAGAUCCCAAGAAAGGCACUCAAAUUUAAGUCUUCUGGACUCCAUCCAUUCUGUCACCUGCUGCCCUCUGGUGAGGCUAAAGAAUGAAAGGAUGCCCAGUAGGUCCAGCCAGAUAGCUGUGAGGGGUGUAAUGCAUAGUCAGAAAGAGGAUCACACACACACACACACACACACACACACACACACACACACACACACACACGGGAACUGGAGAGAGUUGAGAAAAUGGAGAGGGGGAAGAGAUUGAUUUUCCCCUCUCUUCCCCUUGGGGAAGGUAACCUGGGUUUUGUCUCCCUGAGGGACAGAAUAUGUCUCCUCAAAAAGUGGUCCUGGGAGGUGGAGGUUAAGAACUAGAGGAAAGAGCUUUGGUGAAAUGGCACACAGUUUCCCUUCUUGGUCUCAGCUAUUGUUGAAAGACAAGUGGGCCUUCCUGUCUCUGGG